UGGGGAAUUUUGGACAAUGGGCGCAAGCCUGAUCCAGCCAUGCCGCGUGCAGGAUGAAGGCCUUCGGGUUGUAAACUGCUUUUGUACGGAACGAAAAGACUCCUUCUAAUAAAGGGGGUCCAUGACGGUACCGUAAGAAUAAGCACCGGCUAACUACGUGCCAGCAGCCGCGGUAAUACGUAGUGUGCGAGCGUUAAUCGGAAUUACUGGGCGUAAAGCGCUCGCAGGCGGUGGUAUAAGACAGAUGUGAAAUCCCCGGGCUCAAUCUGGGAACUGCAUUUGUGACUGUAUGGCUAGAGUACGGCGGAGGGGGAUGGAAUUCGGCGUGUAGCGGUGAAAUGCGUAGAUAUGAGAAGGAAAACCGAUGGCGAAGGCAAUCCCCUGGGCAUGUACUGACGCUCAUGCACGAAAGCGUGGGGAGCAAACA
Molecule: ribosomal RNA, 427 nt
Filed under: uncultured bacterium
Lineage: Bacteria
Description: bacterial SSU rRNA
Rfam family: Bacterial small subunit ribosomal RNA
Source: RNAcentral